UUUUCUUCAUUAGCAAUGUGGGACUUACAUUGCAAUCAAUCCCAACAAUCUCCACCUUGAUUGUAAUGGUCUUCAAUCUUCAUUGUCUACACCGACAAUCAUUAUCUUAUGCUUCCAUUGUGUAUACCGACAACCAUUGUCUUCACCGACAAUCAUAAUUCUCAUUGUCUAUACCGACAAAUUAAAUUAUCAUACUCCACCAUAAAAAGUACACUCCACUUGGAACUAAACCAUCCCAAGAAUUUUAUUCACUUGGAACUAAACCAUCCCAAGAUUU
RNAcentral lists this long non-coding RNA (277 nucleotides) under Trifolium pratense (red clover). RNAcentral describes it as "long non-coding RNA (TPRA_LNC006894)". Lineage: Eukaryota; Viridiplantae; Streptophyta; Magnoliopsida; Fabales; Fabaceae. The record is from RNAcentral.